Molecule: ribosomal RNA, 492 nt
Filed under: uncultured bacterium
Lineage: Bacteria
Description: partial 16S ribosomal RNA
Rfam family: Bacterial small subunit ribosomal RNA
Source: RNAcentral
AGCGAACGCUGGCGGUAGGCCUAAUACAUGCAAGUCGAACGGUAGCACAGUAAGCGUUUGCCAUUACGGGUGGCGAGUGGCGGAUGGGUGAGGAAUACAUCGGAAUCUACUUUUCCGUGGGGGACAACGUAGGGAAACUUAUGCUAAUACAGCAUACGACCUACGGGUGAAAGCAGGGGAUCUUCGGACCAUGCGAGAUCGAAUGAGUCGAUGUCGGAUUAGCUAGUUGGCGGGGUAAAGGCCCACCAAGGCGACAUACCGUAGCUGGUCUGAGAGGAGGAUCAGCCACACUGGAACGAGAACACGGUCCAAACUCCUACGGAGGGCGGCGGUGGGGAAUAUUGGACAAUGGGGGCAGUCCUGAUCCAGCCAGACCGCGUGGGUGAGGAAGGCCUUCGAGUUGUAAAGCCCUUUUGUUGGGAAAGAAGAUCAGCAGGUUAGAACCCCGCUGUUCUGACGGUACCCAAAGAGUAAGCACCGGCUAACUUCGUG